AUUUAUCCUAUGUGUAACUCCUAACAUAGCAUCAUUGUAGGUGUCUUACUUUUUUUUAAACAUGGUCCCUCAGGGUUACACAUAGCAUCAUUGUAGGUGUCUUACUUUUUUUCAAACAUGGUCCCUCAGGGUCCGAUUCGAUAAAAAAGAUCACCCGAUUAAUAAACGAAAAACCGGAUUAAAAUCGUCACUAUACGCCCGCAAAAACAAGGCACACAAGACAACCUACACAAAAAACGCACACACGCCGCCAAAAAGAAAAGCACCGUCGAGGUUGCAAUCCGACAUCAUCAUCAUCACAUUGACGACCACCUAUGUAGCCUCCACCGCAGAGGCCUGCGUCGGUCAAUGUCAAACAAUCCACCACACACACGUCAUCGACGACCAGGCAGCUCCGACUCCGUCGACGAGUAUUGUAGGAUAAAAAGCACCGGACCGAUGCCCUCAUAUAUAAUAUAAUUGCGAUUUAGCAGGUAUAUAUAUAUAUAAAAUGUGCUAUGUCAUGAAAAGCAUAACUUUGUCAAGAAAAGCAUAUGGAUUCAUAUGGGAAUAUACUUUCUAAAUAUAUAAAUUUUAUUAUAAAUAAUGUAUAUCUAGCCAGUUAAAUAGAUGAACGAGAACUACACUCAUGCCUCAUGCAUCGGGGCGGAGAGAGACAAUCAGCUGGUUUAGGUUAGAGACCUUUUAUAGUACAUCUAGUCAACAUGUGUUGUUUAUUUUUAUAAUUAGAUGGUCCAGAUUAAUAUACUACACCUAAUAUCCGGUAUUAUAUUGAGUGGUUAGGGUUUAUUCAGAGUACAUCUAGUCAAUAUGUGUUGUUUAUUUUUGUAAUUAGAUGGCCCAGAUUAAUAUACUACACCUAAUAUCCGGUAGUAUAUUGAGUGGUCAGGGGUUAUUUUGAGUAGUUCCUUGUUUAUCAGUCCGCGGGAAUAUUUCCUCUUAAUACAAGUGGAUGGCACCGAUUGACGGUGUUCUGGACUGGGGUCGGACCAAGAACCCCAUGACGAUUCAUUAAUGGGUCAUCUUGGAUAAUACGUGAUGCAUACAAAAGAGAUUUUAUAAGACUUGAAACAUAAGAUAAAGACUUUUCUCCAUCGACGUAGCCAAUUAAGACUCUUGUUAUGCUAUGUUUCUGGUAUAUUAUGUAAGUUGAGGCUAGGCUAGUUAAUAGACGAUGGAUACAUAGAAUCAUUAUCCGAUCUAUGUAAGGUUUAGUUCAUCUAAUCUCGUGAUAGAUCGGCUCUGCAAUCGUCGUACACUCAUUAAUACAAUCAAAUAGGACGUAGGGUUUUACCUCUUCGAGAGGACCUAAACCUGGGUAAUUAUUGUUCCUAUGUUUUCCUGUAUUUCAUUGAUUCAAAGAUCCACAACCCGAAACCCUACCUGAUAUCUGCUGAUUGCUCGUCACCAUGGGCAUCUACGUCCAUCGUAGUCGCCUUCGCAAUGCUGCGGAGCGGCAGAGCGUGCAAGUGUAUAGGCCCCAGGCCGUCGUCGCUCUCACCGUAUCCCCGUGGUGCGGCCUCUCAUUUCCUCCGUUCGGCACCGUCGCAGUUGCUCGUCACCAUGGGCGGCUACCUCCAUCAUAGUCGCGCCUCUGCACCGCUACGGAGCGGCAGAGCAUAGUAGUGUACAGGCCCUAGGCUGCUGCCCUCAUCCCGUCCUGCGGCCUCCCCCUGCCUAGCCCGACCGAUGAUUCCCUCACAAAGUUGCAAUCACAGUUGUCGGUGCAAUGAGACAACGACGAGCUCCCAACUGCAAGUUUUUUAAAUUAAAUGCACGAAAAUACCACUCUUCAGUACCAAAGUUAAAUGCAUGAAAGUAAUGAAUCAGUAACAUAGUUCAUGUAUGUCACAGUUCAUCGUUUAUCCUCUCUUCCCCAUUUCAUCAUCUUGUCUUUUUCAAACUUUUUUUAUAAGUUAUUUCUCCCCUACCUCAUCAUUUAUUCUAUAUGAAUCUUUUUUUAUAAGUUAUUUCUCCUAUUUAUUCUAUAUGAAACUUCUCAUCAUUUGCCCUCUCUUGUCUUUUUUUAAUCUAUUUUUAUAAGUUUUUUUCCUCUAUCUCAUCAUUUAUCCUACAUGUAACUCUUAAAAAAGAUCUUUGUUAGUGUCCUUAGAUUUAUUUUUUAAAUAUGGUCCCACAGGGUCGGCUUCAUUAAAAAGGCCCGACUCAUUAAACAAGAUUCCUUAGAUUUAUUUUUUAAAUAUGGUCCCACAGGGUCGGAUUCAUUAAAAAGGCCCGACUCAUUAAACAAGAUCGUCCGAUUAAUAAACCAAAAACCUGACUAAAAUCGUCACAAAUACGUCCGUCAAAAUAAGACACACAGAACGAUCUGACAACCUACACAAAAACGCACACAUGCCGCNN
RNAcentral lists this long non-coding RNA (2364 nucleotides) under Hordeum vulgare. Its description in RNAcentral is "long non-coding RNA (HVUL_LNC013640)". The record is from RNAcentral. Lineage: Eukaryota; Viridiplantae; Streptophyta; Magnoliopsida; Poales; Poaceae.